RNAcentral lists this ribosomal RNA (468 nucleotides) under uncultured bacterium. RNAcentral's name for it is "partial 16S ribosomal RNA". It matches the Rfam family "Bacterial small subunit ribosomal RNA", at positions 28 to 507 of the family's 1533-position model. The record is from RNAcentral.
GACGAACGCUGGCGGCGUGCUUAACACAUGCAAGUCGAACGGAAAGGCCCUGCUUUUGUGGGGUGCUCGAGUGGCGAACGGGUGAGUAACACGGGAGUAACCUGCCCUUGACUUUGGGAUAACUUCAGGAAACUGGGGCUAAUACCGGAUAGGAGCUCCUGCUGCAUGGUGGGGGUUGGAAAGUUUCGGCGGUUGGGGAUGGACUCGCGGCUUAUCAGCUUGUUGGUGGGGUAGUGGCUUACCAAGGCUUUGACGGGUAGCCGGCCUGAGAGGGUGACCGGCCACAUUGGGACUGAGAUACGGCCCAGACUCCUACGGGAGGCAGCAGUGGGGAAUAUUGCACAAUGGGCGGAAGCCUGAUGCAGCAACGCCGCGUGCGGGAUGACGGCCUUCGGGUUGUAAACUGCUUUCGCCUGUGACGAAGCGUGAGUGACGGUAAUGGGUAAAGAAGCACCGGCUAACUACGUG